This 253-nucleotide ribosomal RNA is filed under the name uncultured bacterium. RNAcentral's name for it is "partial 16S ribosomal RNA". It matches the Rfam family "Bacterial small subunit ribosomal RNA", at positions 524 to 776 of the family's 1533-position model. The record is from RNAcentral.
UACAGAGGUGGCAAGCGUUGUUCGGAAUUACUGGGCGUAAAGGGCGCGUAGGCGGCUUGGUCAGUCCCGUGUGAAAUCCCUCGGCUCAACUGAGGAACUGCACGGGAAACUGCCUGGCUUGAGUUCGGGAGAGGGAAGCGGAAUUCCGGGUGUAGCGGUGAAAUGCGUAGAUAUCCGGAGGAACACCGGUGGCGAAAGCGGCUUCCUGGACCGACACUGACGCUGAGGCGCGAAAGCUAGGGGAGCAAACGGG